This 492-nucleotide ribosomal RNA is filed under the name uncultured bacterium. RNAcentral describes it as "partial 16S ribosomal RNA". It matches the Rfam family "Bacterial small subunit ribosomal RNA", at positions 28 to 507 of the family's 1533-position model. The record is from RNAcentral.
GAUGAACGCUAGCUACAGGCUUAACACAUGCAAGUCGAGGGGAAACGCCAUCGAAAGCUUGCUUUUGAUGGGCGUCGACCGGCGCACGGGUGAGUAACGCGUAUCCAACCUGCCCAUCACUUGGGAAUAACCUUGCGAAAGUAAGACUAAUACCCAAUGACAUCCCACGAAGACAUCUGAAUGGGAUUAAAGAUUUAUCGGUGAUGGAUGGGGAUGCGUCUGAUUAGCUUGUUGGCGGGGUAACGGCCCACCAAGGCAACGAUCAGUAGGGGUUCUGAGAGGAAGGUCCCCCACAUUGGAACUGAGACACGGUCCAAACUCCUACGGGAGGCAGCAGUGAGGAAUAUUGGGCAAUGGGCGAGAGCCUGAACCAGCCAAGUAGCGUGCAGGAUGACGGCCCUAUGGGUUGUAAACUGCUUUUAUAAGGGAAUAAAGUGGGUCUCGGGAGACUUUUUGCAUGUACCUUAUGAAUAAGGACCGGCUAAUUCCGUG